RNAcentral lists this non-coding RNA (21 nucleotides) under Caenorhabditis elegans. The record is from RNAcentral. Lineage: Eukaryota; Metazoa; Nematoda; Chromadorea; Rhabditida; Rhabditidae.
UUUCGUGGCGUUUCUCUCUUC